This 23-nucleotide non-coding RNA is filed under the name Arabidopsis thaliana (thale cress). The record is from RNAcentral. Lineage: Eukaryota; Viridiplantae; Streptophyta; Magnoliopsida; Brassicales; Brassicaceae.
GUCGCUUUGGCCGAGUGGUUAAG